Molecule: long non-coding RNA, 1249 nt
Filed under: Nicotiana tabacum (common tobacco)
Lineage: Eukaryota; Viridiplantae; Streptophyta; Magnoliopsida; Solanales; Solanaceae
Description: long non-coding RNA (NTAB_LNC014059)
Source: RNAcentral
AAGACUUAGAGCAUUUUGUCUUUGGUUCAACAAAGACAUUCUGUCUUUGAUAUCAAAAUAUCAAAUCCAUUUUGUCUUUGGUUCAAGAGACAGCGUUAGAAGUAGAAUCAAAUUCGUCCAAAAUUUCAAAGAAGUCCAAAGCCAAUUUCGUUUAUAAAUUUCAAAGAAGCAAAGAUGAAAUUUCGUUCAAGGAUUCAGAAAGAAGAAGCUUAAUCCGAUUUUUGGGGUUCCAAGUUCAAUCCAUGAAGGAUUUCAAAGGAAUAUUAUAUGAAGUUUUCCCUACUCCAGGUAUAUUAAGGCUAUCCCUUAUUUAUUUUGGCAUGGUCCAAAUUAUACUGAAGAAAUGAGCAAACGCACAGUUUCCAUAAAUUACUCUAUUCAUACAAAUACUAGGGGUGUCUACAUUCUUGAUUCCCCAUCUGAAUUAUUAUUAUCUUCUGUUCAUGGAUCUCAGAAUAAUAUGCAGUUGAAAAAGUUUAUUCGGAAGGAAUAUUGAGAUUUUUAUGUAUUUUUCAUGCAUUUCGCCCAUUUAUACAUGUGUAUUGACCCAUGACAAGAUGGAGUUAUAUACACAUAUAUAUGUAAAUAUAUGCAUAUAGGAUAUGGGAAAAGGUUACAACGUUAUAUACGCACCACCACCUGGCCAGCUGGUAUAUGUUGAUGAUAUUGCCCACAGUGGCCGAGACGAUAUGAUGGGAUGCCCUCAGUGCUUGAUGAUAUUAUGUACACCCAUACCUAUGAAUGACACGACAUUUACACGCGCGUGCAUGACAUUAUAAAUGUUUCAGAAUUUACAAAGUUUUUCAAAUUUAAGGAUGUGUUUCUUUAUUCCAUGUUUCACCUACGUCUUUUACAUACUAAUUAGCAUGCCUUACAUACUCAGUACAUUUUUCGUACUGACUUCCUAUUUCACGGUGCCUGCGUUUCAUGCCCGCAGGUGCAGGUAGGCAAGCUGACGGUCCCCCUUUUUAGGAUCCCUGAUCAGCGAGAGUUGGCGUGCUCUACUUGAUCCGGAGCUGCUUUUGAGUUUGGUAUGAUACGUUUGUGUGUAUAUAUAUAUAUAUGGGUAUGACGUGGCUCAGUCCCGUAUUUGUAUAGUUAUGUUUCUAUUAAAAGUUUGUAGAGAGUAUAUCUAGUUAGGUUGUAUGUGGCAUUGUCAACUUUUAGCUUUGAAUGUAUAUUUGUCUAUAGCAGCCUUGCCGGCUUGCCCACUGUAUUCUGCAUGUAUACGUAUAUACACCUUGUUGGC